RNAcentral lists this ribosomal RNA (253 nucleotides) under uncultured organism. RNAcentral's name for it is "partial 16S ribosomal RNA". It matches the Rfam family "Bacterial small subunit ribosomal RNA", at positions 524 to 776 of the family's 1533-position model. The record is from RNAcentral.
UACAGAGGUUGCGAGCGUUAAUCGGAAUUACUGGGCGUAAAGGGCGCGUAGGCGGUGAUGUAAGUGGGAUGUGAAAUACCCGGGCUUAACCUGGGGGUGUCAUCUUAGACUGCAUGACUAGAGUGAAGGAGAGGGUAGUGGAAUUUCCGGCGUAGCGGUGAAAUGCGUAGAUUUCGGAAAGAACACCGGUGGCGAAGGCGGCUAUCUGGCCUUUAACUGACGCUGAGGCGCGAAAGCGUGGGGAGCGAACAGG